RNAcentral lists this ribosomal RNA (790 nucleotides) under Oxydothis fortunei. RNAcentral describes it as "Oxydothis sp. HH-2022b partial large subunit ribosomal RNA". It matches the Rfam family "Eukaryotic large subunit ribosomal RNA", at positions 89 to 908 of the family's 3401-position model. Lineage: Eukaryota; Fungi; Ascomycota; Sordariomycetes; Amphisphaeriales; Oxydothidaceae. The record is from RNAcentral.
GCGAGUGAAGCGGCAACAGCUCAAAUUUGAAAUCUGGCCCUCGGGCCCGAGUUGUAAUUUGUAGAGGAUGCUUUUGGUGCGGUGCCUUCCGAGUUCCCUGGAACGGGACGCCUUAGAGGGUGAGAGCCCCGUACGGUUGGACACCUAGCCUCUGUAAAGCUCCUUCGACGAGUCGAGUAGUUUGGGAAUGCUGCUCAAAAUGGGAGGUAAAUUUCUUCUAAAGCUAAAUACCGGCCAGAGACCGAUAGCGCACAAGUAGAGUGAUCGAAAGAUGAAAAGCACUUUGAAAAGAGGGUUAAAUAGCACGUGAAAUUGUUGAAAGGGAAGCGUUUAUGACCAGACUUUCUCUAGGCGGAUCAUCCGGUGUUCUCACCGGUGCACUUCGCCUAGUUUAGGCCAGCAUCGGUUUCCUUGGGGGGAUAAAAACGGUGGUAAUGUGGCUCCCUCGGGAGUGUUAUAGACCGCUGUAUAAUACCCUCAGGGGGACCGAGGUUCGCGCUCUGCAAGGAUGCUGGCGUAAUGGUCAUCAACGACCCGUCUUGAAACACGGACCAAGGAGUCGAACAUUUAUGCGAGUGUUUGGGUGUUAAACCCCUACGCGUAAUGAAAGUGAACGGAGGUGAGAGCCUUUUAGGUGCAUCAUCGACCGAUCCUGAAGUUUUCGGAUGGAUUUGAGUAUGAGCAUAACUGUUCGGACCCGAAAGAUGGUGAACUAUGCGUGGAUAGGGUGAAGCCAGAGGAAACUCUGGUGGAGGCUCGCAGCGGUUCUGACGUGCAAAUCGAUCGUCAA